GGCUCCUAGCCUAUUGCUCACCCACAGUGAGACAGGAUCUCCCUACUGCAUCCAUUGACUCACAUGCCAAUCUAUACUCCCAAAUAAUGCUGUAUUAGUUCUCUUGGUAUUCCUUAACUCAGUGAAGGAGACACCUAGAAUUAAUUAACACAGCACUGAUUUUCCCAGGACUAAGCCAUUUCCAAGGACUUUUGGAGCUAAAGUCAAGUCACUCCAGGCUGAGUCAGCUGGUCCUUCUGCUCAGCUCCACUCUUGAUCACCUCAACUCCAACAGACAUUGAGGGUCUUCCCAGUUUUUGGGCAUCUUCUUGUAAGGGUUUCCUAGAUGCCAUCAUGUGAGCAGCCAGGUCUUCCCACCAUGCCUUCCUGCCUUGAAGCCGGCCAACUAUCGACUAAAAAUAUGAGCCAAAAUAAAUCUCUCCUUGUUUAAACGUGCAAGCAAAGUAAGUACCUGUGGCCAAAGAAUGGAAAGUCAUGAGUUCCGGGCAAGAAGUCAUCUACCAUAGAUAAGCUCUGUGGUUUAAUUCUCCCUCGUUUCAAAGGCAAGAGAUCGCAACACUGACAGAGGCAGGAAAGCACUGUGGGAAGGGAAGGAGCGUCAGACUCUGGGACGCCCUUUACAGGAUAAAAUACUUGAGGCUGAAGAAGGUAUGAUUCACCUCGGUCAUGGAACAAAGGCACAGUGAGACUACAAUCAGAUGUGUUCUGCCUGUUCAGUCAGCCACCUGAAGCUGACCCCCGGAGGUGGAGCGUUAGCAGAUGGUCUCCAAAGGCAUUUUCUGGUAAAAGACAAGCUAUGGUCCUCCACCGCAAGCUUGUUUCCAAGUCUCAGGGAUGUUCUCAGGUCCAUUAAUAAUACUCUCUUUUUUUGGUAAUAAAUUUGUAAAUUAAUACAAUAAAUCAAGUGUCUCUAUAGCUAUCCUUCAUAUGAUAUGAAAACACUAUGGUAUCUGAAAAUAGGCUCUCUCAGACACUAUGGUGAAAACUUUUAUAAGAAAAAGAAUGAAAUAAAAAUGUGACAG
This 1022-nucleotide long non-coding RNA is filed under the name Heterocephalus glaber (naked mole-rat). RNAcentral describes it as "lncRNA (ENSHGLG00100029337.2)". The record is from RNAcentral. Lineage: Eukaryota; Metazoa; Chordata; Mammalia; Rodentia; Bathyergidae.